Molecule: ribosomal RNA, 304 nt
Filed under: uncultured cyanobacterium
Lineage: Bacteria; Bacillati; Cyanobacteriota
Description: bacterial SSU rRNA
Rfam family: Bacterial small subunit ribosomal RNA
Source: RNAcentral
GAUGAACGCUGGCGGUAUGCUUUACACAUGCAAGUCAUACGGGAGUUAGCUUCGGCUAAUUCCAGUGGCGGACGGGUGAGUAACACGUGAGAAUUCGCCUUUAGGAGGGGGAUAACAGGGGGAAACUCCUGCUAAAACCCCAUAUGCCUUCGGGUCAAAAGAGUAAUCUGCCUAAAGAGAAGCUCGCGGCUGAUUAGCUAGUUGGUGGGGUAAAGGCCUACCAAGGCGACGAUCAGUAGCUGGUCUGAGAGGAUGAUCAGCCACACUGGAACUGAGACACGGUCCAGACUCCUACGGGUGGCAG